RNAcentral lists this ribosomal RNA (465 nucleotides) under Vreelandella stevensii. Its description in RNAcentral is "partial 16S ribosomal RNA". It matches the Rfam family "Bacterial small subunit ribosomal RNA", at positions 338 to 795 of the family's 1533-position model. Lineage: Bacteria; Pseudomonadati; Pseudomonadota; Gammaproteobacteria; Oceanospirillales; Halomonadaceae. The record is from RNAcentral.
CCUACGGGGGGCAGCAGUGGGGAAUAUUGGACAAUGGGGGCAACCCUGAUCCAGCCAUGCCGCGUGUGUGAAGAAGGCCCUCGGGUUGUAAAGCACUUUCAGUGAGGAAGAACGCCUGGUGGUUAAUACCCAUCAGGAAAGACAUCACUCACAGAAGAAGCACCGACUAACUCCGUGCCAGCAGCCGCGGUAAUACGGAGGGUGCGAGCGUUAAUCGGAAUUACUGGGCGUAAAGCGCGCGUAGGUGGCUUGAUAAGCCGGUUGUGAAAGCCCCGGGCUCAACCUGGGAACGGCAUCCGGAACUGUCAAGCUAGAGUGCAGGAGAGGAAGGUAGAAUUCCCGGUGUAGCGGUGAAAUGCGUAGAGAUCGGGAGGAAUACCAGUGGCGAAGGCGGCCUUCUGGACUGACACUGACACUGAGGUGCGAAAGCGUGGGUAGCAAACAGGAUUAGAUACCCCGGUAGUC